RNAcentral lists this long non-coding RNA (468 nucleotides) under Triticum aestivum (bread wheat). Its description in RNAcentral is "long non-coding RNA (TAES_LNC019069)". The record is from RNAcentral. Lineage: Eukaryota; Viridiplantae; Streptophyta; Magnoliopsida; Poales; Poaceae.
GCCCUUCUUGUUUACCUAAAAAUCUCUUCUCUCCUAAGAUCUUGUAGGAAUCUUUCUUUUUUCCUUAAGAAGCAUGCUACCAAUGGACGCCAGAUGUUCCAGCACCGAAAAGUUGGUGACCAUGCUUGGGUGUUUCAGAAUUCAUAUGAAAAGCAUUUAUUUUUUACUUUCAGGGAUUGCUCCAUCUUGCAGUUUCUAAUAUGGCUGGACAAUUACGAUUUCACAUAUAUCUGAAAAACCACAGCCCAUCUGUGUUCUAUAAACGUUGGUGUGGUCUUAUGUGCACCAAGAAUUCUGUCAUUAACAUAAGGUAUUUUACACCCGCACUGCAAACUGUUGAUAAAUCUGAUGUGUUGCUUGCACUGAGAAUUCUUACAUUUGCGUAAGGUAUUUUACACUGGCGUUGUGAACUCAUUGACAAUUAGCAUUCAUCAGCUAAGCACACCUCGAUGUACGCAGCCUGUAUAU